UCUUAUAUUUCACACGUCCAUGUUCCACAUAGUUUUUCAACCUUUGCCAAGUCAACAUAAUGGUAAAAAUGGGACAGGCACACGGCAAAUUCAAUUUAGUUAUAUAUAGCAAAAUAAUGUUAUCUUGGAAAAGCACCAUUCAACGCAACAUUUCUGAUCAAGAGGUGAAAGUGGAAAAUUAUUGAAACACUUGUCUGCAUUCCACAAGGCCUAUAUCAACCAAAAGAAGAAAAAGGGAAUCUCAUUUCAUUAAGAAAUAGAAGACAUGGCCCCACUAGCUUUGAAAGAGAAGCCUAUUUAGGAGAGAAGCAAUACGUUUUGGUGUGCUGAUUGGAGAGGUCCAUCAUAUGGCUUUGCUACGUAACAUUAGCUUGCUACUACAUCUACACAAUUAAAAUCACACAGUUGCCAAGGAAGACCACGGCUGGAAUUAAUACUCCACCACCUCUCGGUUGAAACGGCAAAUUGGAGAAUGGAAGUGGCAUCAGGUGGAGGUGUUCACGGCUCUCUCAGAAAUUGAUUGGAAAGUGAUAGCAUGGCCCAUGACAACCACGUUGGCACACACCAAAACAUCACAAAUGCUUGAAUAAAAAGGGCCACCACUCUCGAAGCAGCGCAUGAGAGAUUGAAGUAAGUGAGUGAUAGUUGAGGAUUUACCCCUUUCAUUAGAGAAGCCACAGUGCAGCAAAGAUUAAAACACACGGCCCUUGGACAACUAAGGAUCAACAAAAUAUAUGAAGGGAUAAAAAGCGGGAGCAGCCACUGAAGGGAAUAUUAUCCUCACUGAAAAGCUUAGCAGAGGACGUGGAGAGCAGGCCAUGAUUGAACGGAAAGAGAUGGCUCAUAGCUGGCUGGGUUUUCCUUUUUGGAAAGAGGAGACUUACAAGCUCAAAAGGAGGAACGAAUAUACACAUUCGGUUACAUUUUUCAGAGAGUGGGAUAUACCACUUUUAGUUACAGAACUCUUGGCUACACAUGCUCGGAGUUUUUGGUUUGGAACUUUUGGCUGUGAACGUUUUUGUUGGGAGACACCACUCUCUUGGCUGGAGCUCUCUGCAGACAUCAAUUGGUUGGAGAGCAAGGAGUGGAGUAGAUGUCACGGCUACUGGAAGAGAAGAGUUCUGGUUGAGUUUUGAUGAGCACGACACCCAGCAGAGAAUGGAGUUUAGCUUCAAUAGGUUCUGUUUGUCUUACUGUUAAUGCUUGAACCAAUAGUGAAUUUAUAGUUCUAAAUAUGUGGAAGAAUACGUACUCUUCCCUCUUUGCUGUUAACGUGUUUGUGUAGUGUCAUUUCCAAUUUGAAUUGAAUUUGGUUGCUUA
Long non-coding RNA from Vigna angularis (adzuki bean), 1320 nucleotides. RefSeq lists it as uncharacterized. The record is from RefSeq and is a predicted model, not a curated record. NCBI's taxonomy places the organism in Eukaryota, Viridiplantae, Streptophyta, Magnoliopsida, Fabales, Fabaceae. The transcript is spliced from 2 exons.